RNAcentral lists this ribosomal RNA (502 nucleotides) under uncultured bacterium. Its description in RNAcentral is "partial 16S ribosomal RNA". It matches the Rfam family "Bacterial small subunit ribosomal RNA", at positions 30 to 523 of the family's 1533-position model. The record is from RNAcentral.
AUUGAACGCUGGCGGCAUGCCUUACACAUGCAAGUCGAACGGCAGCACGGGAGCUUGCUCCUGGUGGCGAGUGGCGAACGGGUGAGUAAAGUAUCGGAACGUGCCCAGUCGUGGGGGAUAACGUAGCGAAAGUUACGCUAAUACCGCAUCCGAUCUAUGGAUGAAAGCGGGGGAUCGCAAGACCUCGCGCGAUUGGCGCGGCCGAUAUCAGAUUAGGAAGUUGGUGGGGUAAAGGCUCACCAAGCCGACGAUCUGUAGCUGGUCUGAGAGGACGACCAGCCACACUGGGAAUGGGACACAGCACAGACUCCUACGGGAGGCAGCAGUGGGGAAUUUUGGACAAUGGGCGAAAGCCUGAUCCAGCCAUGCCGCGUGCAGGAUGAAGGCCUUCGGGUUGUAAACUGCUUUUGUACGGAACGAAAAGGUUUGGCCUAAUAAGCUGAGCUCAUGACAGUACCGUAAGAAUAAGCACCGGCUAACUACGUGCCAGCCGCCGCUGUAA